UUUGUUUCGACUUGCAUGCAGACGACCCGUGAACAUGUAACCACAACGGGGUGACCGUGAUAAGGGCCUCGGUCCUUAUCCCCUAACCCUUCCCGACGUGAGUUCGUGGUGUCUUUUUUGGGGCAUCAUGGAUUCCGUUGGACCAUAACAAAACCCCGGCACGGUAUGUGCCAAGGAAAACAAAAAUGAGAAGGACACUACCUGUUUCGCCCCGUUUGCGGUGUGCGUACAGGUCGUGGCCUCCUUGGAAUCACAAACGACUCUCGGCAACGGAUAUCUCGGCUCACGCAUCGAUGAAGAACGUAGCAAAAUGCGAUACUUGGUGUGAAUUGCAGAAUCCCGUGAACCAUCGAGUUUUUGAACGCAAGUUGCGCCCGAAGCCAUCCGGCUGAGGGCACGCCUGCCUGGGCGUCACGCAUCGCGUCGCUCCCCACCAUACCUCCCCAACGGGUUGGCAUGGUGUUGGGGGCGGAUAAUGGCCUCCCGUGCUUGUGUUUCGGUUGGCCUAAAUAAGAGUUCCCUUCGGCGGACACACGACUAGUGGUGGUUGAAUAGACCCUCGUCUUUUGUUGCGUGUCGUGAGCUGUAAGGGUAGCCCUCAUCAAAGACCCCAUUGUAUCGUCUUCGGAUGAUGCUUCGACCGCGACCCCAGGUCAGGCGGGACUACCCGCUGAGUUUAAGCAUAUCAAAA
Molecule: ribosomal RNA, 691 nt
Filed under: Brassica oleracea var. gemmifera (Brussels sprouts)
Lineage: Eukaryota; Viridiplantae; Streptophyta; Magnoliopsida; Brassicales; Brassicaceae
Description: eukaryotic LSU rRNA
Rfam family: 5.8S ribosomal RNA (bases 259-414)
Source: RNAcentral